Molecule: ribosomal RNA, 505 nt
Filed under: uncultured bacterium
Lineage: Bacteria
Description: partial 16S ribosomal RNA
Rfam family: Bacterial small subunit ribosomal RNA
Source: RNAcentral
ACUCAAAGGAAUUGACGGGGGCUCACACAAGCGGUGGAGCAUGUUGCUUAAUUCGAAGCAACGCGAAGAACCUUACCUGGGUUUGACAUGCACGGAUUAGUUCCUGGAAACAGGAAUGAGGCCCGCAAGGGUACAACGUGCACAGGUGCUGCAUGGCUGUCGUCAGCUCGUGCUGUGAAGUGUUUGGUUAAGUCCAUUAACGAGCGCAACCCCUGUCGCUAGUUGCUAACGAGUAAUGUCGAGGACUCUAGCGAGACUGCCGCUGUAAAGCGGAGGAAGGUGGGGAUGACGUCAAGUCCUCAUGGCCCUUACAUCCAGGGUUGCAAACGUGCUACAAUGGCGCGUACAAAGCGACGCGAGGCCGCAAGGCGGAGCAAAUCGCAAAAAACGCGCCCCAGUUCGGAUUGAAGGCUGCAACCCGCCUUCAUGAAGUUGGAAUCGCUAGUAAUCGGAGAUCAGCUACGCUCCGGUGAAUAAGUUCCUGAGCCUUGUACACACCGCCCGU